RNAcentral lists this ribosomal RNA (445 nucleotides) under uncultured bacterium. RNAcentral describes it as "SSU rRNA". It matches the Rfam family "Bacterial small subunit ribosomal RNA", at positions 26 to 518 of the family's 1533-position model. The record is from RNAcentral.
AGAGCGAACGCUGGCGGCAGGCUUAACACAUGCAAGUCGAACGGAUCCUUCGGGAUUAGUGGCGGACGGGUGAGUAACACGUGGGAACGUGCCUUUAGGUUCGGAACAACACAGGGAAACUUGUGCUAAUACCGGAUGUGCCCUUCGGGGGAAAGAUUUAUCGCCUUUAGAGCGGCCCGCGUCUGAUUAGCUUGUUGGUGAGGUAAAGGCUCACCAAGGCUACGAUCAGUAGCUGGUCUGAGAGGAUGGCCAGCCACAUUGGGACUGAGACACGGCCCAAACUCCUACGGGAGGCAGCAGUGGGGAAUCUUGCGCAAUGGGGGAAACCCUGACGCAGCCAUGCCGCGUGGAUGAUGAAGGUCUUAGGAUUGUAAAAUCCUUUCAGCGGGGACGAUAAUGACGGUACCGCAGAAGAAGCCCCGGCUAACUUCGUGCCAGCAGCCGC